RNAcentral lists this ribosomal RNA (357 nucleotides) under Triticum aestivum (bread wheat). RNAcentral's name for it is "partial small subunit ribosomal RNA". Lineage: Eukaryota; Viridiplantae; Streptophyta; Magnoliopsida; Poales; Poaceae. The record is from RNAcentral.
GCGGCCGCUACCAUACGACUUUGUCUUGCGGAUCAGGUCAUGUAUCAUGUCAUGGACGAAGAUACUCCUAAGGGAAUUUGGGAUAAGUUGGCAAAUCGUUAUAUGUCCAAGUCAGCGACCAAUAAGCUGUAUUUGAAGCAAAAGUUCUAUGGGCUGAAGAUGCAGGAGGGGUCGGAUCUUGUGGAGCAUGUGAAUGCCUUUAAUCAGUUGGUCAUGGAUCUAGCGCGUCUGGAUGUGAAGAUCGAUGAUGAGGAUAAGGCGCUACUUCUUCUUGUUUUGUUGCCACCGUCCUAUGAGCAUUUGGUCAUUACAUUGACACAUGGAAAGACAACCAUCAAUAAUGAGGAAGUCACUUAA